This 252-nucleotide ribosomal RNA is filed under the name uncultured bacterium. RNAcentral describes it as "partial 16S ribosomal RNA". It matches the Rfam family "Bacterial small subunit ribosomal RNA", at positions 80 to 334 of the family's 1533-position model. The record is from RNAcentral.
CUAAAAGAUGGCGACCGGCGCACGGGUGAGUAACACGUAUCCAACCUGCCGAUAACUCGGGGAUAGCCUUUCGAAAGAAAGAUUAAUAUCCGAUGGUAUAUUUUCUCCGCAUGGUGAGAAUAUUAAAGAAUUUCGGUUAUCGAUGGGGAUGCGUUCCAUUAGUUUGUUGGCGGGGUAACGGCCCACCAAGACCACGAUGGAUAGGGGUUCUGAGAGGAAGGUCCCCCACAUUGGAACUGAGACACGGUCCAA